This 5320-nucleotide long non-coding RNA is filed under the name Salmo salar (Atlantic salmon). Its description in RNAcentral is "lncRNA (ENSSSAG00000109235.1)". Lineage: Eukaryota; Metazoa; Chordata; Actinopteri; Salmoniformes; Salmonidae. The record is from RNAcentral.
AAACAUGCUGGAGCUAGAACCUCGUUGUCGCCGCUCCUUAUUUUAGAUCAUACUACAGGGUGUCAGACGUGGUUUUAAAAUUCCCAUAAACGUGAAGGAUGUACCAAGUAAAUCAUACAUUCAGGCUGUUUCAAAGCAGGGAGGGCACAGUGUUGGAGAUAAAACAACGCAUAUCAUUAUUUUGCUAGCUAACAAAAUAAGGAGUUACUGCUAAGAAACAUGUUGCAAGAGGAAGAAGCUGGCGGUAUUUCAGGGUUUGCGACUCCAAGUUCAACGGGCUCUGGCGCAACCACAGACAGGCCAGUGGCUAGUGCUGACGUAUUUCGCAUUAGUCCCCCGGAGAAUUUUGUUUGUAUGGACAUUCAAAACUGGCCGAAAUGGAUCAGGCGCUUUGAAAGGUACAGGGUAGCAUCAGGCUUAAACGUGAAAAAUGAGGCAUUUCAAGUUAAUACAGUGAUCUACUCUAUGGGUGAUGAAGCCGAGGAUAUAUUAAAUGCUUCAACGUUGACUGAGGAAGAGAAAUGUAACUACAGUGCCGUUAAAGACUGUUUUGAAACGCAUUUUGCAGGGAGACACAACAUUAUAUUUGAGAGAGCUAGGUUUAAUAUGCGCAAACAGGAGCAGGGUGAAACCACCAACAGUUUUGUCACAGCUGUUCACAAACUAGUAGAACAUUGUCAGUUUGGCACGCUCAGGGAAGAGCUGAUCCGAGAUCAGAUUGUAGUGGGAAUAAGAAAUAUAUCACUUUCUGAAAAGUUACAGUUGGAUUCCCAGCUUACCUUGUCCAAAGCUGUAAACCAGGUUAGGCAGAGUGAGACAGUAAAAAGACAGCAGACGAUGCAGAGAGAAGAGAGUGAGGAAAGAAAUGCAUUUUCAUACCGAGCUAAAAAAACAGAGGGGAACACAGAACAGAGACAGAUGUGGAGAAAACAAUCACAGACAGCACCAGUAGCUAGUUCAAGUGUUUGUCGCAAAUGUGGGAAAUCACCUUUCCACAGAUGGAAAGAUUGCCCAGCAAAGGAUGCGGAAUGCAGGAAAUGUCACAGGAGAGGACACUUUUCAGCUGUCUGUCGAUCAAAGCAUACGCAUGAGGUCUCAGAGGAGGCACAGCAGCUACAGCAGGACAGCAUCUUUCUGGGAGAAGUAAAGGAAAACAAUGCUGGCUGGCAUUCAGACAUUAAACUCAAUGAGGAGGUUCUGUCAUUUAAACUAGACACUGGGGCAGCAGUGACAGCUAUCCCAACUAGGCUGUAUAGCUAUAGCAGAGAUGGCCCUUUGCUCUCUACAAACAACUGUACGGGCCCAGUAAUACGAUUUUACCAGUGGUAGGGCACUUGGUGAUUAAACUGGAGGGUAAAGACAAAAGUGCCAUCCAGCCUGUCUUCGUCAUUGACUCUCUAGCCAGACCGUUGCUGGGGCUGCCAGCAAUUGAAGCAUUGCAACUCAUUGAGAGAGUGAGCGAACUGGAGGACCCAGGUGAGGUUUUCAAAAAGAAAUUCCCAAAAGUGUUUUCUGGUCUAGGAAGGAUAGAAGGUGACUACAAAAUCCACCUGAAAGAGGAUGCUGUCCCCUAUGCCCUUACCACCUAUCCUUACCACCUACCACCUAUUGUGCCUAUCCCUUUAUUGGCUAGAGUAAAGGAAGAGUUGGGGAGGAUGGAAGAAAUUGGGGCAGUGUCUAAAAUAGAGAGUCCCACAGACUGGUGUGCAGGGAUGAAAGUGAUCCACAAAAGCCAAUGGGGACAUAAGGAUCUGUGUGGACAUGACUAACUUGAAUGAGGCACUCUGCAGAGAGAGACACAUCUUACCAUCAGUGGAGCAGUCACUGGCUCAGUUGGAUGGCUCACAAGUCUUCACAAAUCUGGAUGCCCGCUCAGGUUUCUGGCAGAUACCGCUGUCAUCAGAGAGUAGGGCACUCACAACGUUUAUAACACCGUUUGGCCGUUACUGUUUUAAUGUUUUGAUAUUUGGAAUCGCUUCCGGUCCUGAGCAUUUCCAAAGACGCAUGUCCCAGCUGUUGGAUGGGCUGAGUGGCGUCAUAGUCCACGCGGACGAUGUGCUCAAGCGCAGACGGGACAGAGCAGAACAUGAUGUAAGGCUCACAGCAGUUCUGACCCGACUCCAGGAGACUGGCCUGACACUCAAUGGCAAUUGCACUUGGGACACAAAAUGCACUUGGGACACAAAAUACACUUGGGACACAAAAUGCACUUGGGACACAAAAUCAGUGCAGCUGGAAUUGAGCCGGACCCGGAGAAGAUCAGCGCCAUCACAGAUAUGCCCAGAUAUGCCCAGACCCCAGAAUGUGGCUGAAGUCAGGACCUUCUUAGGCAUGGCCACAUAUGUGGGUAAGUUCCUCCCACAGUUCUCAGAUACAACCAAACCUCUGAGAGACUUACUAGCCAAAGAGAAUGACUGGUCAUAGGGUCACAUGCAACAGGUGGCAUUGGACAAAAUCAAAGGAGACCUGGCCUCACAGAGAGUGCUGGCCCAUUACCGUCCCCACGCUAAGACAAAAGUAUCAGCAGAUGCAUCAUCCUUUGGGCUUGGGGCGGUCCUCACACAGAUGCAGGACAACAUGGCGUGGCGUCCAAUAGCAUACAUCUCCCGAAGCUUAUCCGACAGAGCAAAGGUCAAAUCAAAUCAAAUGUAUUUAUAUAGCCCUUCUUACAUCAGCUAAUAUCUCAAAGUGCUGUACAGAAACCCAGCCUAAAACCCCAAACAGCAAGCAAUGCAGGUGUAGAAGCACGGUGGCUAGGAAAAACUCCCUAGAAAGGUCAAAACCUAGGAAGAAACCUAGAGAGGAACCAGGCUAUGAGGGGUGGCCAGUCCUCUUCUGGCUGUGCCGGGUGGAGAUUAUAACAGCACAUGGCCAAGAUGUUCAAAUGUUCAUAAAUGACCAGCAUGGUCAAAUAAUAAUAAUCAUAGUAGUUGUCGAGGGUGCAACAAGUCAGCAACUCAAGAGUAAGUGUCAGUUGGCUUUUUCAUAGCCGAUCUUUGAGAGUAUCUCUACCGCUCCUGCUGUCUCUAGAGAGUUGAAAACAGCAGGUCUGGGACAGGUAGCACAUCCGGUGAACAGGUCAGGGUUCCAUAGCCUCACGCAGAACAGUUGAAACUGGAGCAGCAGCACGGCCAGGUGGACUGGGGACAGCAAGGAGUCAUCAUGCCAGGUAGUCCUGAGGCAUCGUCCUAGGGCUCAGGUCCUCCAAGAGAGAGAAAGAAAGAAAGAAAAAGAAAGAAAGAAAGAAAGAAAGAAAGAAAGAGAGAAUUAGAGAGAGCAUAUUUAAAUUCACACAGGACACCGGAUAAGACGAGAAAUACUCCAGAUGUAACAGACUGACCCUAGCCCCCCGACACAUAAACUACUGCAGCAUAAAUACUGGAGGCUGAGACAGGAGGGGUCAGGAGACACUGUGGCCCCAUCCGAGGUAUGCUCAAGUAGAGAAGGAGGCGUUGGCUAUCACAUGGGCAUGUGAAAGGCUCAGCCAAAACCUUAUUGACCUGCAGUUUACAGCAGAGACUGACCACAAACCACUGUUGGCUCUGUUAGGGACAAAAGCACUGGACAACUUGCCUCCCAGAGUUCUGCGCUUCCGCCUCAGAUUACUGAGGUUCACCUACAAGAUGGUGUAUGUGCCAGGGAAGGCACUGAUCACAGCAGAUGCACUCUCAGGGACCCCAAUUAAACGUCCAUUAUCAGAGGAGGAGCAAAGUCUAGAGGGUGAGGUACAGGUGUCCAUUAAUGCAGUAAGGGACAGCCUACCUGCAUCUCAGACCAAACUGCAGCAGACUGCAGAGGAACAACAACGAGACCACAUCUGCCGACAGAUAGUGCAGCAGUGCAAAAGGGGAUGGCCCAGGCAGGAGGAACUGCCUCAGCUGCUGAAGCCCUAUUGGGUGCACCAAAGUGACUGUCCACUGUAAUGGAGACCUUCUCAUGAAAGGACAACGAAUAGUUAUCCCAGAGACUUUACAACCAGAAAUGCUAGACAUGGGAAUAACCAAAUGCAGACUGAGGGCUCAACAGUCAGUGUGGUGGCUUGGUCUGAGUACUCAGAUUUCCAAGCUGGUGGCCCAGUGUGAGGUCUGUACAAAAUGUCAACCUUGUCAUCCGGAGCCAAUGAUGGCAACGGAGCUGCCAAAACGGCCAUGGCAAAAGGUAGGGGCAGAUAUGUUCUAUUGGAAAAAGGACACUUAUCUGCUAGUGGUAGAUUACUACUCAAGAUACAUUGAAAUAGCAAAGACACCCAUAACCAUAUCAGCUGGUGUUAUCAAUGGAUUAAAGUCAAUUUUUUCCAGGCAAGGGGUCGCUGAGGUCCUGGUUACAGAUAAUGCUCCCCAGUUCUCUGCAAGUUCCUUUUCUGCUUUUACCGCAUAAUAUGACUUCACACAUGUGACCAGUAGCCCCUACCAUGCACAGAGUAAUGGUGAGGCAGAGAGAGCUGUGAAAACAGUCAAGGGACUGCUGAAAAAGAACAAGGAUCCAUACAGGGCUCUGUUAGCUUACAGAGUUACACCAUUGCAUCAUGGGCCGUCCGUCGCCUGCCGAGCUCUUGAUGGGCAGGAGGCUGAGUUCCCCAUUGCCUGUCUCACGGGCUCAGCUUAAACCCUGAUGGCCUAACAGGAAGGCCUUCGCUGAGAGGGACAAACGGCUGAAACAAACGCAAACUGGAGACUUUAAUCGGAGACACCGUGCUAAGGAGAGGCCAGAGCUGACCGAAGGUCAACGUGUGUGGAUUACAAACUCAAAGACACCAGCAAUAGUGCUGAGGAAAGCGGAUGCCCCACGCUCCUAUGUGGUGGACACAGGCUCAGAAGAGGUACGAAGGAACAAAACACACCUCAGAGCUCUUCCAGCCACACAGACUGAGGCCACAGACAACGCAAAAAUAGAGGGUGAAGGAGAGAGAAUGCUCACACAGCCACAAGCGCACCCAAAAAGGGAUGUGAAGCCACCAGAGUGGCUGAAAGACUAUGUUACGUGAAGAGAAAACAUACUGUUGGGGACCAUACCCAGCAAAAAGAGACUGUACCUAAGUUAAUGUUCAUACUGUGUGAUUUAAUGCUUUCAUACUGUUUCAGGAUGUGAAGUAGCAUGUUAGAGAAUAAUACUGGUUUCCAAAUUGCAUUUCAGUUAUGCUUCAGUGGUUAUGCAUGUUGAGUUGUUGUUCAUGGGAGAGGGGAAGAUGUAGUAGGAUGUCCCUUGUGGGUAUCCGUACCUAUGUAUGACAUGCGAGGGUUAGGUUAAUAAACAGGCUGGAGCUAGAACCUCGUUGUCGCGCGUCCUUAUUUUAGAUCAUACUACAGAAACAUUACAGGAA